GAUGAACGCUGGCGGCGUGCCUAAUACAUGCAAGUCGAGCGAACGGACGAGAAGCUUGCUUCUCUGAUGUUAGCGGCGGACGGGUGAGUAACACGUGGAUAACCUACCUAUAAGACUGGGAUAACUUCGGGAAACCGGAGCUAAUACCGGAUAAUAUUUUGAACCGCAUGGUUCAAAAGUGAAAGACGGUCUUGCUGUCACUUAUAGAUGGAUCCGCGCUGCAUUAGCUAGUUGGUAAGGUAACGGCUUACCAAGGCAACGAUGCAUAGCCGACCUGAGAGGGUGAUCGGCCACACUGGAACUGAGACACGGUCCAGACUCCUACGGGAGGCAGCAGUAGGGAAUCUUCCGCAAUGGGCGAAAGCCUGACGGAGCAACGCCGCGUGAGUGAUGAAGGUCUUCGGAUCGUAAAACUCUGUUAUUAGGGAAGAACAUAUGUGUAAGUAACUGUGCACAUCUGGACGGUACCUAAUCAGAAAGCCACGGCUAACUAC
This 494-nucleotide ribosomal RNA is filed under the name uncultured bacterium. RNAcentral's name for it is "partial 16S ribosomal RNA". It matches the Rfam family "Bacterial small subunit ribosomal RNA", at positions 28 to 504 of the family's 1533-position model. The record is from RNAcentral.